RNAcentral lists this ribosomal RNA (718 nucleotides) under Bacillus sp. R404. RNAcentral's name for it is "bacterial SSU rRNA". It matches the Rfam family "Bacterial small subunit ribosomal RNA", at positions 62 to 762 of the family's 1533-position model. The record is from RNAcentral. Lineage: Bacteria; Bacillati; Bacillota; Bacilli; Caryophanales; Bacillaceae.
UCGAGCGGACAGAUGGGAGCUUGCUCCCUGAUGUUAGCGGCGGACGGGUGAGUAACACGUGGGUAACCUGCCUGUAAGACUGGGAUAACUCCGGGAAACCGGGGCUAAUACCGGAUGGUUGUUUGAACCGCAUGGUUCAGACAUAAAAGGUGGCUUCGGCUACCACUUACAGAUGGACCCGCGGCGCAUUAGCUAGUUGGUGAGGUAACGGCUCACCAAGGCGACGAUGCGUAGCCGACCUGAGAGGGUGAUCGGCCACACUGGGACUGAGACACGGCCCAGACUCCUACGGGAGGCAGCAGUAGGGAAUCUUCCGCAAUGGACGAAAGUCUGACGGAGCAACGCCGCGUGAGUGAUGAAGGUUUUCGGAUCGUAAAGCUCUGUUGUUAGGGAAGAACAAGUGCCGUUCAAAUAGGGCGGCACCUUGACGGUACCUAACCAGAAAGCCACGGCUAACUACGUGCCAGCAGCCGCGGUAAUACGUAGGUGGCAAGCGUUGUCCGGAAUUAUUGGGCGUAAAGGGCUCGCAGGCGGUUUCUUAAGUCUGAUGUGAAAGCCCCCGGCUCAACCGGGGAGGGUCAUUGGAAACUGGGGAACUUGAGUGCAGAAGAGGAGAGUGGAAUUCCACGUGUAGCGGUGAAAUGCGUAGAGAUGUGGAGGAACACCAGUGGCGAAGGCGACUCUCUGGUCUGUAACUGACGCUGAGGAGCGAAAGCGU